This 650-nucleotide long non-coding RNA is filed under the name Salmo salar (Atlantic salmon). Its description in RNAcentral is "lncRNA (ENSSSAG00000102943.1)". Lineage: Eukaryota; Metazoa; Chordata; Actinopteri; Salmoniformes; Salmonidae. The record is from RNAcentral.
CAUCAACAAAACGUUAACAAUUGAUCAAAUGCAUCCAAUGACAAUGCCUGAAAUACUGUAGUCCUCAAUAUCUCCUAUUAGCUUAGCCCAAUAUGUUCUCUUAAAGGGGCAAUCAGCGGUUGUUACAUCCAUUUUGGGACUUAUUAAAUAAUUAAGACACACAAAUGACUCGAGGGAGCCAGAGAUUAAGAUAGCCUAACCAUCAGAAAAAAACUCUUCCUUAGCCUACUCCUUCCGCUGCUGCUGGCCUUCGUAAAUUCUGAUGUUAUGGUCCUAUAGUUUCUGGUAAUAGACUACACCACCAGUCGUUAUGCUCCUAUAGUUUCUGGUAAUAGGCUACACCAGCAGUCGUUAUGCUCCUAUAGUUUCUGGUAAUAGGCUACACCAGCAGUCGUUAUGCUCCUAUAGUUUCUGGUAAUAGGCUACAGCUGCAGUUAUUAUACUCCUAUAGUUUUUGGUAAUAGGCUACACCAGCAGUCAUUAUGCUCCUAUAGUUUCGGGUAAUAGCCUACACCAGCAUCGUUAUGCUCCUAUAGUUUCUGGUAAUAGGCUACACCAGCAGUCGUUAUGCUCCUAUAGUUUCUGGUAAUAGGCUACACCAGCAGUCGUUAUGCUCCUAUAGUUUCUGGUAAUAGACUACACCAGCAGUC